AGAUUCCUUGAGUGUUUCUUCUUCAAAUCACAUAUAUACUUAUAAAUUUCACAGAUUUUGUUUUAAGUCUUUUUCUGUUUUAAAAUUAUUUAGGAUGGUUUCAGCGGAAACUGGAUACUAAGAAUAUUUGACCGAGUUGUUGGUUACUGGCCUAAAGAGUUAUUUACUCACUUAAACAAAGGAGCUUCUUUGGUACGCUUUGGAGGAAAUACAUUUCCAUCUCCGGACGGAUUUAGUCCCCCAAUGGGAAAUGGAUAUUUUCCGUCUCACGAUUUUUAUAAAAGUUCACAUUU
RNAcentral lists this small RNA (293 nucleotides) under Arabidopsis thaliana (thale cress). RNAcentral describes it as "ATSL113440". The record is from RNAcentral. Lineage: Eukaryota; Viridiplantae; Streptophyta; Magnoliopsida; Brassicales; Brassicaceae.